GACGAACCGUCCUAACGUUGUUCGGAAUCACUGGGCUUAAAGGGCGCGUAGGCGGGUUCCCAAGUCGGUGGUGAAAUCUUUCGGCCCAACCGGAAAACAGCCGCCGAUACUGGGAGUCUUGAGGGAGGUAGGGGUCGAUGGAACUUCCGGUGGAGCGGUGAAAUGCGUAGAUAUCGGAAGGAACGCCGGUGGCGAAAGCGAUCGACUGGACCUUUUCUGACGCUGAGGCGCGAAAGCCAGGGGGAGCAAACGGG
RNAcentral lists this ribosomal RNA (254 nucleotides) under uncultured bacterium. Its description in RNAcentral is "partial 16S ribosomal RNA". It matches the Rfam family "Bacterial small subunit ribosomal RNA", at positions 524 to 776 of the family's 1533-position model. The record is from RNAcentral.